Molecule: ribosomal RNA, 448 nt
Filed under: uncultured bacterium
Lineage: Bacteria
Description: bacterial SSU rRNA
Rfam family: Bacterial small subunit ribosomal RNA
Source: RNAcentral
UCCCUCCUCCUACUUUAGGCAGCCUUUUUGAAUAUUGUUCCCUUGGCGCAAUCCUUCCCCAGCAACUCCGCGUGAAGGACUCCGUCUUUCGGGUUUUCCCCUUCUUUUCUCCGGGACGAAGCCCUUUCCGGUACCUGCGGCCUAAGCCACGGCUCCCUACGUGCCCGCCGCCGCGGUCCUCCGUAGGUGGCCCGCUUUAUCCGGAGUUCCUGGGUGUAACGGGCGUGUAGGCGGUGCCGCAAGUAAGAGGGGAAAACCAGGGGCGCAACCUGGGGCGUGCAUUUGAAAGUGUGUUUCUGGAGUACUGGAGAGGAAGACGGAAGUAAGAGUGUAGCGGUGAAAUGCGUAGAGAGGAGGAGGAACAACAGGGGCGAAGGAGGGAGGCUGGACAGAAAAUGACGCUGAGGCGCGAAAGCGUGGGGAGAAAACAGGAUGAGAUACCCGGGGA